This 458-nucleotide ribosomal RNA is filed under the name uncultured bacterium. RNAcentral's name for it is "partial 16S ribosomal RNA". It matches the Rfam family "Bacterial small subunit ribosomal RNA", at positions 338 to 795 of the family's 1533-position model. The record is from RNAcentral.
CCUACGGGCGGCAGCAGUGAGGAAUAUUGGUCAAUGGGCGAGAGCCUGAACCAGCCAAGUCGCGUGAGGGAGUACUGCCCUAUGGGUUGUAAACCUCUUUUGUCGGGGAGCAAAAGCCGGACGUGUCCGGCUGUGAGAGUACCCGAAGAAAAAGCAUCGGCUAACUCCGUGCCAGCAGCCGCGGUAAUACGGAGGAUGCGAGCGUUAUCCGGAUUUAUUGGGUUAAAAGGGUGCGCAGGCGGAUUUUUAAGUCAGCGGUAAAAUCGUGGGGCUCAACCCCAUCCAGCCGGUGAAACUGGGGAUCUAGAGUGUGCGAGAGGUAUGCGGAAUGCGUGGUGUAGCGGUGAAAUGCAUAGAUAUCACGCAGAACCCCGAUUGCGAAGGCAGCAUACCGGUGCACAACUGACGCUCAGGCACGAAAGCGUGGGUAUCGAACAGGAUUAGAUACCCCGGUAGUC